CGGGGAAUAUUGCACAAUGGAGGGAACUCUGAUGCAGCGACGCCGCGUGAACGAAGAAGGCUUUCGAGUCGUAAAGUUCUUCUAUAUGGGAAGAUAAUGACGGUACCAUAAGAAAAAGCCCCGGCUAACUACGUGCCAGCAGCCGCGGUAAUACGUAGGGGGCUAGCGUUGUCCGGAAUCACUGGGCGUAAAGGGUUCGCAGGCGGAAAUGCAAGUCAGGUGUAAAAGGCAGUAGCUUAACUACUGUAAGCAUUUGAAACUGCAUAUCUUGAGAAGAGUAGAGGUAAGUGGAAUUUUUAGUGUAGCGGUGAAAUGCGUAGAUAUUAAAAAGAAUACCGGUGGCGAAGGCGACUUACUGGGCUCAUUCUGACGCUGAGGAACGAAAGCGUGGGUAGCAAACAGG
This 403-nucleotide ribosomal RNA is filed under the name Fusobacteriota bacterium. Its description in RNAcentral is "Fusobacteria bacterium partial 16S ribosomal RNA". It matches the Rfam family "Bacterial small subunit ribosomal RNA", at positions 355 to 776 of the family's 1533-position model. Lineage: Bacteria; Fusobacteriati; Fusobacteriota. The record is from RNAcentral.